This 449-nucleotide ribosomal RNA is filed under the name uncultured bacterium. Its description in RNAcentral is "bacterial SSU rRNA". It matches the Rfam family "Bacterial small subunit ribosomal RNA", at positions 328 to 794 of the family's 1533-position model. The record is from RNAcentral.
CAACCAGACUCCUACGGGAGGCAGCAGUGGGGAAUAUUGGACAAUGGGGGGAACCCUGAUCCAGCGACGCCGCGUGAGUGAAGAAGUAAUUCGUUAUGUAAAGCUCUAUCAGCAGGGAAGAAAAUGACGGUACCUGAGUAAGAAGCCCCGACUAACUACGUGCCAGCAGCCGCGGUAAUACGUAGGGGGCAAGCGUUAUCCGGAUUUACUGGGUGUAAAGGGAGCGUAGACGGCAGUGCAAGCCUGGAGUGGAAGCCCGGGGCCCAACCCCGGGACUGCUCUGGGAACUGUGCGGCUGGAGUGCGGGAGGGGCAGGCGGAAUUCCUGGUGUAGCGGUGAAAUGCGUAGAUAUUAGGAGGAACACCAGUGGCGAAGGCGGCUUACUGGACUGUAACUGACGUUGAGGCUCGAAAGCGUGGGGAGCAAACAGGAUUAGAUACCCCGGUACU